Molecule: ribosomal RNA, 253 nt
Filed under: uncultured bacterium
Lineage: Bacteria
Description: partial 16S ribosomal RNA
Rfam family: Bacterial small subunit ribosomal RNA
Source: RNAcentral
UACGUAGGGGGCUAGCGUUGUCCGGAAUCAUUGGGCGUAAAGCGCGUGUAGGCGGUCCGGUAAGUCCGCUGUGAAAGUCGGGGGCUCAACCCUCGGAUGCCGGUGGAUACUGUCGGGCUUGAGUACGGAAGAGGCGAGUGGAAUUCCUGGUGUAGCGGUGAAAUGCGCAGAUAUCAGGAGGAACACCGGUGGCGAAGGCGGUUCUCUGGGCAUUACCUGACGCUGAGGCGCGAAAGCCAGGGGAGCAAACGGG